RNAcentral lists this ribosomal RNA (253 nucleotides) under uncultured bacterium. Its description in RNAcentral is "partial 16S ribosomal RNA". It matches the Rfam family "Bacterial small subunit ribosomal RNA", at positions 524 to 776 of the family's 1533-position model. The record is from RNAcentral.
UACGGAGGAUUCAAGCGUUAUCCGGAUUUAUUGGGUUUAAAGGGUGCGUAGGCGGUCGGAUAAGUUAGAGGUGAAAUCCCGGGGCUCAACUUCGGAAUUGCCUCUGAUACUGUUCGGCUAGAGAGUAGUUGCGGUAGGCGGAAUGUAUGGUGUAGCGGUGAAAUGCUUAGAGAUCAUACAGAACACCGAUUGCGAAGGCAGCUUACCAAGCUACUUCUGACGUUGAGGCACGAAAGCGUGGGGAGCAAACAGG